Non-coding RNA from Cyanistes caeruleus (blue tit), 481 nucleotides. NCBI's taxonomy places the organism in Eukaryota, Metazoa, Chordata, Aves, Passeriformes, Paridae. The record is from RefSeq and is a predicted model, not a curated record.
CUGGGCAAUCCCAACCACUCCCUGGGCAAUCCCAGCCAUUCCCUGGGCGAUCCCAGCCAUUCCCUGGGCGAUCCCAGCCAUUCCCAGCCCUCCCUGGCCAUUCCCAGCCAUUCCCAGCCUCGGGAAGGCGGGAGCUGGGCAGGAGUUGAUGUCCCCACCCUGCCGGGCCCCGCAGGUACCACAGCCUGUACCUGAAGGUGAAGGGCAACGUGUUCAAGAACAAGCGGAUCCUGAUGGAGCACAUCCACAAGCUGAAGGCGGACAAAGCCCGCAAGAAGCUCCUGGCGGACCAGGCGGAAGCGCGGCGCUCCAAGACCAAGGAGGCGCGGAAGCGGCGGGAGGAGCGGCUGCAGGCCAAGAAGGAGGAGAUCAUCAAAACCCUGUCCAAGGAGGAGGAGGCCAAGAAGUGACCACGGGCCGAGCCCUGCAGCGAGCGUUCCCCAGCCCCAGGCUCCCAAUAAAACAUCCCGGACUCUUCCCA